Molecule: long non-coding RNA, 559 nt
Organism: Triticum dicoccoides
Lineage: Eukaryota; Viridiplantae; Streptophyta; Magnoliopsida; Poales; Poaceae
Exons: 2
Source: RefSeq, a predicted model, not a curated record
UCCAGCCUGAUUCGAGCUUCCUGGACAGCCACAAGGCAUGCCUUGGCCGCCAUUGAGCAGAAUGCCGCUGGUGGCCAGCAGCGACAGAGUGCCGUCUCAGCGGAUAAGGGAGUAUCAAGCGAGACAUCAUCAUCAUCAAGCGAGCAUGGGAGUUUUUCCUGCAAGCAAGGUGAUCGACGAGGACUACUGCGGACCAAUGGGAGUCGUGCUCUUCAACUACUCGGAGGUAGACUUCACCGUGAAGCCCCGCGACCGCGUCAUAUAGAUUAUCGUCCAGGUGAUUAUGACGCAGGAGGUCCCCGGGGUGGAGAACCUCGACGCCACCGUCUAGUCACCAGGUGGUGGACGACGCCAUUGUCCGGAGUUCCUCAAGGUGGAGGACCUCGACGCUUUGUACAUACAUCUAGAGAAGUGGUCUGGUUAGGUUGGUGGUGAAACGCUAGGGAAGGUACCAACCUUUUGAUGAUGGUUGUGUGCGUCCUCAUGAUCUCUUCGAGUUGAGAUGUUCAAUGUUGCAUCCAUGAACACUGCUAGUGUUAAGAUGGUUCUGUGAAAUUUA